This 600-nucleotide ribosomal RNA is filed under the name uncultured archaeon. RNAcentral's name for it is "bacterial SSU rRNA". It matches the Rfam family "Archaeal small subunit ribosomal RNA", at positions 82 to 685 of the family's 1478-position model. The record is from RNAcentral.
CGGACGGCUCAUUAACACGUGGUUAACAUACCCUCAGGUGGGGGAUAACCUUGGGAAACUGAGGAUAAUACCCCAUAGAAAAAGCAGUCUGGAACGAUUCUUUUUCGAAAGCAUAUGCGCCUGAGGAUUGGACUGCGCUCGAUUAGGUAGUUGGUGGGGUAAUGGCCCACCAAGCCUACGAUCGGUACGGGCCUUGAGAGAGGAAGCCCGGAGAUGGGGACUGAGACACGGCCCCAGGCCCUACGGGGCGCAGCAGGCGCGAAACCUCCGCAAUGCACGAAAGUGCGACGGGGGGAUCCCAAGUGCUCAUGCACAGCAUGGGCUUUUAUCAAGUGUAAACAGCUUGAGGAAUAAGGGCUGGGCAAGUUCGGUGCCAGCAGCCGCGGUAACACCGACGGCCCGAGUGGUGGCCACUUUUAUUGGGCCUAAAGCGUCCGUAGCCGGUCCAGUAAGUCCUUGUUUAAAUCCUGCGGCUUAACCGCAGGACUGGCAGGGAUACUGCUGGACUUGGGACCGGGAGAGGACAAGGGUACUUCAGGGGUAGCGGUGAAAUGUGUUGAUCCUUGAAGGACCACCUAUGGCGAAGGCACUUGUCUGGAA